Molecule: ribosomal RNA, 406 nt
Filed under: uncultured bacterium
Lineage: Bacteria
Description: bacterial SSU rRNA
Rfam family: Bacterial small subunit ribosomal RNA
Source: RNAcentral
UGGGGAAUAUUGCGCAAUGGGCGGAAGCCUGACGCAGCGACGCCGCGUGAGGGAUGACGGCCUUCGGGUUGUAAACCUCUUUCAGCAGGGACGAAGCGUGAGUGACGGUACCUGCAGAAGAAGCACCGGCCAACUACGUGCCAGCAGCCGCGGUAAUACGUAGGGUGCAAGCGUUGUCCGGAAUUAUUGGGCGUAAAGAGCUUGUAGGUGGUUUGUCGCGUCUGCUGUGAAAAUCCGAGGCUCAACCUCGGACUUGCAGUGGGUACGGGCAGACUAGAGUGUGGUAGGGGAGACUGGAAUUCCUGGUGUAGCGGUGGAAUGCGCAGAUAUCAGGAGGAACACCGAUGGCGAAGGCAGGUCUCUGGGCCGUUACUGACACUGAGAAGCGAAAGCAUGGGGAGCGAAC